Molecule: long non-coding RNA, 537 nt
Filed under: Homo sapiens (human)
Lineage: Eukaryota; Metazoa; Chordata; Mammalia; Primates; Hominidae
Description: HSALNT0067798
Source: RNAcentral
CAGAGACACAGAUGUGUCACGAGAAAGAGCUUCGCAUGUGGGACAAGGUGACGGCGGUGCGUCCACCCCGUGUGAGCUAGAGGAAGGUGCUGUCAAGAGCUUGUGCUUUCACCCUGGGAAGGCCCUGGCGGCCUCUGAUCUGGAGACAAAUGACCGUGUGCAUGGCCUGCUGACUUUCCCACCUGUCCUCUCUCGGGCACUGCCUUACGCAGUCCUCAGAGCCAUGACCUCUGGGUGACCCCUGGAUGGACCCCUGGACGACCUGCCCCCACCACACAGCCGUGACCCCUGGAUGACCUGCCCCCACCGCACAGCCAUGACCCCUGGGUGAGCCCUGGAUGACCUGCCUCUGCUGCACAGCCAUGACCCCUGUGACCCCUCAAUGGACCCCUGGACGACCUGCCUGUGCCACACAGCCAUGACCCCUGGGUGACCCCUGGACGACCUGCCCCUGCCGCACAGCCGUGACCCCUGGGUGACCCCUGGACGACCUGCCCCCGCCGCACAGCCAUGACCCCUGGGUGAGCCCUGGAUGAC